GUUUUCCAAAAUCACUUUCAUUCAUAACCACUGAGCGGUGGCCGAUACGUGUGCAUGAAUACAUUUCACACACCAAAAUGACUUAUAAUCGACGAAGCUGUAAACCGUUUCAGUAUGUCAGAAUACAAAGGGUUUUAUUGCACGCGAAAAUAGAAUGAUGCCGGCUUUUUGUUCUUUUUCCGGUUUUUUCGACCGGGGAACUACUUUUUCUCACUAUUGCGCACUUGUCUAGAGAAAGCAGACAUCAACCGGUAAAUUAUGAUCGCGGUUUAGUUCGAUUCUGGCGGUCAGGGUAAGGACAGGUGGAAUAUAUACAAGCGGGAGAUUGAAGAUCGGGUUUAUAAUAUUUGUUUCGGCAUUCAUAUAAUCUCGGUUAUUGACAGGCAUAAAGAACCGACUAGAACAACGUGCGAUGCCGUCUGCAGACUGUCCGCCGGAUACAUAUAAUGACGGUAUUGACAAGUGCUCUCCGUGCUCAACAAUUUGUAACAAUACCAAGGCAAGAGGGACAUUAUCCGAUUGUCUAAAGGAAUCAUCGUGUGCAGCAUAUUACGAACGAGUGUCUAGGACCACAACGACCUUACCUAGCAAUGAUCCAGAUUCUACAGGGCUACCUCAUUGGGUAAUUAUACUUGUCGUCGCUCUUGGUGUAAUUAUACUUGGAGCCUGUGUUUACGUGGCCAUUCGCUGGUGGAAGAAACGGAGAGUAGACCGCAAUGUUCGGUAUACUGUUCAAGCGACUGAGGAGCACCCAGAAGUACUUUCCGACUCGGGCGUAUCAACUGGUGGGUCAGAUCUUUCUAAUGGUUCAAGUUCUGGUUCAGUACCUGUAUCCACCCCCUCCACCUCAGGGGAAUCUGGAACUAAUGUCACAGGGAUGUCCGAAAUGGGGGACCAGAAGAGAUACAUGUUUGCUAUUUCAGAUGCCCAGGACCAAUAAAUAUAAAAGAGAUUGUUCUACUUAAUAGUAUGGAAUGUUAUUCGUGAAUAUUACAAUGCUUUACAAUAAUAUUACACACAUAGAUUAUUUUGGUUAUUUAGUCUCUUCUUACAUGUAUUUGUGCUAAGAAGGGGGGUGGGGGAGUAACGUCCACUCGAGACAAACUAGGUUAUUUUGAGACUAACAUGGUUCAUUUCCAAUACAAUAAUGCGCUUGCGCGUAGAGGUCUUAAGCAAUGGGAGGUCCCGGAGAAAACCCACUAGGUUUAACGAGCGACCCUACUCCCUGUCACGUUCAAGCAGAGAAUCGAAACCACAUCACUUGAUUCAAUGUCAGACCUUAUGAUGCGACACGCACACGUUAACCAUUAGGCCACCUAACCCCCCAUUCGGGAUGUCAAGACAUAUUUUAUUCAAACCACUCAGCACAUACAGUAAUAAUUACUUUAUCCACACAACAUUUGUAAGAUACCUCUUUAAAAAUUAGAACUCGACAGAUUUUAUAGGCCUUUGAAUUACGGCAGCUAUUGUUUAAUAUUUAAUAACUCUAAGUAUUUAUUUUUGUCUGUAUUGAUUACUGGAACUUUGGUAUUAUUCACCGGUUUCCUCCCACUGCUAAAGACCCCUCUGGUAUUAUUUAAUUGUGCAAUUGUUAGUAUAAACAUGUCAUAGUCUGUAACGCUUAGAUAAGUUUCACCAUCGCAUGACUUUGUGAUUCAUUCACUAUCACAGAUAAAUAGAAUAUUAGAGAGAAAUUAAGAUGGGGUAUUUCCUGUUUUAUUCAUGCUAAUAAAAUAUCAAAAGAGUUAUCCUUAGUGAUGGGUGGUGCCCAUACCCAUCCGCUCAAUACGUACUGCUUAGGUCAUUUUGUGAUUGACAAAAGGGUUUAGGCAUUGGUUAAUCUGACCUGGUCAGCGUAUUUUAGGCAUAAUAAUUGUUUUUAUUAUACGCCCAUAUUGAAAUGUGGUCGUACAUUGCCGUCGCCCUCGUCUGUCCGUCCGUCCACAAGCUCUAGAGACUAAAGUUAAUAUCCGAUUGACUUUAAAUUUAUACAUAGUGUUUAUGGUCAUGCGAUAAUUACUGCCAGUUAUGGCCCUUGAUCACUUUAAAAAAAUCGUGUGGACGCUGUAUGGGCUAAAGUUAAUAUCCGAUUGGCUUAAAUUUAUACACAGUGUUUACGGUCAUGAAACGAAGAAUCCUAUUGAUUUCAACAAUUUCCGAUAAUUACUGUCUGAGUUAUGGCCCUUGAUCACUUUAAACUGUCUUGUUGGUGCUCUGGAGACAAAAGUUAAUAUCCGAUAGACUUUAGAUUUAUGAACACAAUGUUUACGUUGAUGAGACGAAGUAGUCCGAUAAUUAUUGCCAGAGUAAUUUUAGUAUCUGAUAAACUUUAAAUUUAUACACAGUGGUUACGAUCAUGAGACGAAGAAACCUAUUGAUUUUCAACAAUUUCCGAUAAUUACUUCCCGAGUUACGGCCUUUAAUCACUUGAGAAACCUUGUGGACACGCUAGAGGCUAAAGUUAAUAUACAGUUCUGAAGGUCAGGAGACAAACAAUCGAAACAAAUUCUAAUGAUUUCUGAUAAUUAUUUAAUGGGUUAUUACACGUAAUCAGAUUUUAGUGUUUUGUAAAUGUUUUCAUUGCUGACAAAAGAAAAAAUAUCCGACAACCCUUGUUGACUGCCCAGACGACUUAGCUGCUGUGGGCGUAUGUUUCGUUGCCUGGCUACCUAUCUUUAUAUAUAUUUUAUAUCUAUUGCAAUUGAACAACCUAUUUUUAACUUAUUGUGAUAUUUCUUAUGAUCUGGAAUAAUAUUAUAUUUUAUAUCUAUUGCAAUUGAACAACCUAUUUUUAACUUAUUGUGAUAUUUCUCAUGAUCUGGAAUAAUAUUAUGUUAUAUUAAUUACAAACUAGCUAACAUUAACUAAUAGUGCAAUCAAUGUACAUAAUAUAAUUAUGCAAUGUAACGUGACGUGCCUCGAAUCAAACAACUGCUUGCCAUUUAUAUUAUGUAGAUGUAUUAAAUUGAGGGGUUUUUUUAGCAUUAGAUUAUACAGAUGUAUAACCACGCGAUUGAUGGGGAAUUUAUGAACGGGAAAUGUUCUACUUUUAUUAUAUCGUUAAGACAGUUGAAUGCAGCUACUUUUAAAAAAAAAAUUUAAAAAAAUUUAAAAAAAAAAGAAAACUUACAUGUAGUCUUUUAAAAAAAGUUUCGUGUACCUACAUUUUUGUCCACGGAAAUUAUUAAAUAAUUAUUCAUGAAUAAUAUGGAGAAUUCAUGACCGCGUUGUACAAUGUGUGUAUUUUGUCUAUAGUACGGCGAUUUCGGCUGAAAAGAAUAGGGUCGGUUGGAUAACCGUAAACACAGGUAUUAUUUUUUUACCCUAAUUAAUAAGUUGAUUAUGUAAUGAUGCACAUCAAGGAUUAAUUCUUCGUUAGAUGAAUUAUACAAUAAAAUAAGAUGAUUGUAAUAUAGGAUAGUUAGAUAGUCAGGGCCAUUUUGAUUAUUUGGGAUAAACCAAGUAUUUAUUUUCCUGGGUAUUAGUUUUAGUACAUGUAUAUAUAUUUACAUCCAACUUCUACUCGUUGCCACUGGUAACCUUUGAUAAAACUGUCCUGUUUAAUCGCAAUACAUGCUUAAAAGUAUCCGUGUAUCAGUAAUGUACAGAAAGAGUACUGUUCAUUUCUGAUACACGGAUACUUUUAAACCGUGUUAGAUACCUAUCAAGCAAUCAGUAGCGGACGUUUAGUCCGAUCCAGAUCGCAAAUGAAGACCAUGGCUCUAACCAAUGUACAUGAAACAACUAGUCAAAAUAGUAACAAAACAAAAUCGGGGGAACUACAUGGCAGUUCAAAAACAUAUACAAUGACAUUAAAUUAACAUAACAACAUAUUACAAAAAUCAAUUAUUAUACAUAUCAAUUGGCAUCUAUUUUAUAAUUUGGUUUGAUUUAUAUUAAUAUGCAAAAUAUAUAUAUUAGAAUAUUGAAUAAUUAUUUUAAUUAAUUGUGAUGAUAGAAGGCGCAGUUCUCUUGCUGGACACUUCACAGGCAUUGAUAAUUAGCAGGAUGAAAAAAACGCCUAGAAAGUCAUAAACUUUAUUACAAAUAAAUUUCAACGGAAGAACCAUCCGCCGAUGCAUACUUUCACCAGGAAUGACCCACGUUUCGCAUUUCCUUUACACUACAUUUAAUAAUAUCGCAGUCCUCUACGCCAUAGAUAAGAUGUUUUGACGGUGUUGUCUAAACAAACACGUGAUUGUUUUACGCUCAGAGUAUCAUAGCAAGACGCACGUGUAAAUACUACUCAGGUCGUCUCUCCACAGCGAAAUCAUUCUACCAUGAAAUGUAACGUGAGGCUCAGAAAGGGAUAAAUAAUGAAAGAGCAGAAAGUAUUUGUCACUUUUCGGUUGAAACGACUCGAUGAUAAAUACUAUUUUUCACAUGUUGGUUCACAAUACUCGAUAGAAAUGUGAUGUAAGUAACUUAUUAGCACCUUUCCUCGGUGUAUCGGUGAAUAUCAGGACAGUUUUGGUCGGGGGCCGCCUCGGCUUCGCCUCGGCUGGGCCCCUCGACCAAAACUGUCCUGAUAUUCACCGGUACACCUCGGAAAGGGUGCUAAUAACUACAACAUAUAUAUAUCAAUCUGACAUUCCUGAAAUGCAACCAAAGUUGUUUGUUACAUGUACAUCUAUUUUCGUUUUGUUUUUGUACAUACGUAGAUUCUUGACAGGAUGAUAGUUUUCGGGUUUGUGUGUCCUGUUUAUUUAAAUGAAUGAAUGAUAUAUGUUGAAGCGCACUGAAAAAUGGUUGUAGAUAUCAAGUCUUUCAAAUACUACACGUGUAUGAUGUAAUAAUAUGAUGUAGAAAUAUGUAAUAAGUCAUUAUUGUAUUGCUACCAUAAAAAUAUAUAAGUGACGAGCGUGA
This is a long non-coding RNA of Patella vulgata (common limpet), 4866 nucleotides long. RefSeq lists it as uncharacterized. NCBI's taxonomy places the organism in Eukaryota, Metazoa, Mollusca, Gastropoda, Patellidae. The record is from RefSeq and is a predicted model, not a curated record. The transcript is spliced from 5 exons.